This 843-nucleotide ribosomal RNA is filed under the name uncultured organism. Its description in RNAcentral is "bacterial SSU rRNA". It matches the Rfam family "Bacterial small subunit ribosomal RNA", at positions 28 to 872 of the family's 1533-position model. The record is from RNAcentral.
GAUGAACGCUAGCGGCAGGCUUACACAUGCAAGUCGAGGGGUAAGUUCCUACUUGUAGGAAACACGACCGGCGCACGGGUGAGUAACGCGUAUGCAACCUACCUCUAACUGGAGCAUAGCCCGAAGAAAUUCGGAUUAAUACCCCAUAAUAUUUUUGAAUCACCUGGUUUAAAAAUUAAAGUUCCGACGGUUAGAGAUGGGCAUGCGUGUCAUUAGCUGGUUGGUGAGGUAACGGCUCACCAAGGCUACGAUGACUAGGGGGCCUGAGAGGGUGAUCCCCCACACUGGUACUGAGACACGGACCAGACUCCUACGGGAGGCAGCAGUGAGGAAUAUUGGGCAAUGGAGGCAACUCUGACCCAGCCAUGCCGCGUGCAGGAUGACGGCCCUAUGGGUUGUAAACUGCUUUUCUGAGAGAAGAAUCCCCCAUACGUGUAUGGGGUUGCCGGUAUCUCAGGAAUAAGCAUCGGCUAACUCCGUGCCAGCAGCCGCGGUAAUACGGAGGAUGCAAGCGUUAUCCGGAUUCAUUGGGUUUAAAGGGUGUGCAGGCGGAAGAAUAAGUCAGUGGUGAAAGCCCGCAGCUUAACUGCGGAACUGCCAUUGAUACUGUUUUUCUUGAGUUCGGUUGAGGUAGGCGGAAUGUGUAAUGUAGCGGUGAAAUGCUUAGAUAUUACACAGAACACCGAUUGCGAAGGCAGCUUACUAAACCGAAACUGACGCUGAGGCACGAAAGCGUGGGGAGCGAACAGGAUUAGAUACCCUGGUAGUCCACGCUGUAAACUAUGAUCACUCGCUGUUGGCAAUACAUCGUCAGCGGCUGAGCGAAAGCAUUAAGUGAUCCAC